AAUCACAUCCCGUACGCGGGGUCUUGGGGCUCGCCUACUCGGCGGCUCUUAAAUCCAGUGGCGGCGCCAUCUGGCUCUAAGCGUAGUAAUUCUCCUCGCUAUAGGGUCCUGGUGGAUGCUUGCCAGCAACCCCCCAUUUCUAU
Molecule: unclassified non-coding RNA, 143 nt
Filed under: uncultured Hyalopeziza
Lineage: Eukaryota; Fungi; Ascomycota; Leotiomycetes; Helotiales; Hyaloscyphaceae
Description: sequence contains ITS2
Source: RNAcentral